GAUGAACGCUGGCGGCGUGCCUAAUACAUGCAAGUAGAACGCUGAAGGAGGAGCUUGCUCUUCUGGAUGAGUUGCGAACGGGUGAGUAACGCGUAGGUAACCUGCCUGGUAGCGGGGGAUAACUAUUGGAAACGAUAGCUAAUACCGCAUGACAACAGUUAUUGCAUGAUAACUGUUUAAAAGGGGCAACUGCUCCACUACCAGAUGGACCUGCGUUGUAUUAGCUAGUUGGUGAGGUAACGGCUCACCAAGGCGACGAUACAUAGCCGACCUGAGAGGGUGAUCGGCCACACUGGGACUGAGACACGGCCCAGACUCCUACGGGAGGCAGCAGUAGGGAAUCUUCGGCAAUGGACGGAAGUCUGACCGAGCAACGCCGCGUGAGUGAAGAAGGUUUUCGGAUCGUAAAGCUCGGUUGUAAGAGAAGAACGAGUGUGAGAGUGGAAAGUUCACACUGUGACGGUAUCUUACCAGAAAGAGACGGCUAACUACGUG
RNAcentral lists this ribosomal RNA (495 nucleotides) under uncultured bacterium. RNAcentral's name for it is "partial 16S ribosomal RNA". It matches the Rfam family "Bacterial small subunit ribosomal RNA", at positions 28 to 507 of the family's 1533-position model. The record is from RNAcentral.